AUUGAACGCUGGCGGCAGGCCUAACACAUGCAAGUCGAGCGAGCGGCGGACGGGUGAGUAAUGUAUGGGGAUCUGCCCGAUAGAGGGGGAUAACUACUGGAAACGGUAGCUAAUACCGCAUACCAUCGGAUGUGCCCAGAUGGGAUUAGCUAGUAGGUGGGGUAAAGGCUCACCUAGGCGACGAUCCCUAGCUGGUCUGAGAGGAUGAUCAGCCACACUGGGACGAAGACACGGCCCAGACUCCUACGGGAGGCAGCAGUGGGGAAUAUUGCACAAUGGGCGCAAGCCUGAUGCAGCCAUGCCGCGUGUAUGAAGAAGGCCUUCGGGUUGUAAAGUACUUUCAGUCGGGAGGCGUUACCGACAGAAGAAGCACCGGCUAACUCCGUGCCAGCAGCCGCGGUAAUUC
RNAcentral lists this ribosomal RNA (406 nucleotides) under uncultured bacterium. Its description in RNAcentral is "partial 16S ribosomal RNA". It matches the Rfam family "Bacterial small subunit ribosomal RNA", at positions 30 to 526 of the family's 1533-position model. The record is from RNAcentral.